Molecule: long non-coding RNA, 336 nt
Organism: Astatotilapia calliptera (eastern happy)
Lineage: Eukaryota; Metazoa; Chordata; Actinopteri; Cichliformes; Cichlidae
Source: Ensembl
GCCAGUACAGUUAUUCUUCUGCUGUGUGCUGUCUUGACUAUAUGUCUGAUUGUUAUAGCUGUCCUGAUUUGCAUGUCAAAGAAAAACAGCAGGGAUAAUUGUGAAGGUGCUGUUCCACAGAAAAGAUUCAGCGCUCAGAAAAAUCAACAGAAUAAGGACACGUGGUUGUUUUCUGCUGCUGUCUUUACCAUGAUGAAAGCUAACAGAGGUGCAUUAAAAGGUGCAAAAGCAGUGAAGAUGCAGAAGAUCAACAUGACUUGCAAGACUUUAGGGAUGGAUCACUGAAUUAGCAAACCUGUUUAGCAUCACUUGGUAUGUGAUCACCUAGUUGAUGUU